UACAGAGGCCCCAAGCAUUAUCCGGAUUCACUGGGCGUAAAGGGUGCGUAGGCGGUGUGAUUAGUCAGGUGUUAAAUCCUGGUGCUUAACCUCAGAAUCGCAUUUGAAACGGUCACACUAGAAGAUGUAAGAGGUAAGCAGAACUUUCGGUGUAGGGGUGAAAUCCGUUGAUAUCGAGGGGAAUACCAAAUGCGAAGGCAGCUUACUGGUACAUUCUUGACGCUGAGGCACGAAAGCGUGGGUAGCGAAUCGG
RNAcentral lists this ribosomal RNA (253 nucleotides) under uncultured bacterium. RNAcentral describes it as "partial 16S ribosomal RNA". It matches the Rfam family "Bacterial small subunit ribosomal RNA", at positions 524 to 776 of the family's 1533-position model. The record is from RNAcentral.